Molecule: transfer RNA, 75 nt
Filed under: Pectobacterium phage DU_PP_V
Lineage: Duplodnaviria; Heunggongvirae; Uroviricota; Caudoviricetes; Demerecviridae
Description: tRNA-Arg
Rfam family: tRNA
About the family: Transfer RNA (tRNA) molecules are approximately 80 nucleotides in length. Their secondary structure includes four short double-helical elements and three loops (D, anti-codon, and T loops).
Source: RNAcentral
GUUCUCCUAGUUUAAUGGAGAGAAUAUGUCGCUACGAACGACAGGGUCGGGGUUCAAUUCCCUGGGAGAACACCA